This is a regulatory RNA element of Streptomyces sp. CB01249, 58 nucleotides long. It matches the Rfam family "Actino-pnp RNA". Lineage: Bacteria; Bacillati; Actinomycetota; Actinomycetes; Kitasatosporales; Streptomycetaceae. The record is from Rfam.
GCCGGUCCUCGGUAGUGGCCCCCGGGACAACGCCCGGGAGCUUCGAUCGAAGACCGGC